RNAcentral lists this RNase P RNA (415 nucleotides) under Halostella sp. JP-L12. RNAcentral's name for it is "Archaeal RNase P". It matches the Rfam family "Archaeal RNase P". Rfam says of the family: Ribonuclease P (RNase P) is a ubiquitous endoribonuclease, found in archaea, bacteria and eukarya as well as chloroplasts and mitochondria. Lineage: Archaea; Methanobacteriati; Methanobacteriota; Halobacteria; Halobacteriales; Natronoarchaeaceae. The record is from Rfam by way of RNAcentral.
GGUAGAGAGAGUCCGGCCGCCGCGGCGUUCGGGUCGGAAACGACCCGUUCGCACGACGCGGGAUCGCCCCUCGGGGCGACCCGCGCCCGCGAGGAAAGUCCCCCCACCGUCUGGGCAGGUGACCGGACGCAAGUCCGGAGCGGGAGACCGCUGGCUCUGGAACAGAAACGACACGUCUCGGCCCGACCGAUGAGGCGCGCGAACCCGACCGCAAGGGAGGGGAGCUAACCCGCCGAGGGCCGCGCGGUCGCAAUUGCGACCGCGCUCCGGGCGGCACACGCCGUCCCCUGGGCCGAGGAGCGAUGGAACGGCGAAACCUCACCGGUGCAAGUCCGCGCCACAAGGUAGCCCGGACGCGGCGCGGACGCUCAGCCGAAUGCCGGACCGAACAGAAGGGGGCUUACUCCUCUCUGCC